This 253-nucleotide ribosomal RNA is filed under the name uncultured bacterium. RNAcentral describes it as "partial 16S ribosomal RNA". It matches the Rfam family "Bacterial small subunit ribosomal RNA", at positions 524 to 776 of the family's 1533-position model. The record is from RNAcentral.
UACGUAGGGGGCAAGCGUUGUCCGGAUUUAUUGGGCGUAAAGCGUCUGUAGGUGGCUUUUCAAGUCCGCCGUCAAAUCCCAGGGCUCAACCCUGGACAGGCGGUGGAAACUGCCAAGCUGGAGUACGGUAGGGGCAGAGGGAAUUUCCGGUGGAGCGGUGAAAUGCGUAGAGAUCGGAAAGAACACCAACGGCGAAAGCACUCUGCUGGGCCGACACUGACACUGAGAGACGAAAGCUAGGGGAGCGAAUGGG